RNAcentral lists this ribosomal RNA (467 nucleotides) under uncultured bacterium. RNAcentral describes it as "bacterial SSU rRNA". It matches the Rfam family "Bacterial small subunit ribosomal RNA", at positions 29 to 526 of the family's 1533-position model. The record is from RNAcentral.
AGCGAACGCUAGCGGCGGGCUUAACACAUGCAAGUCGAGCGGAGAGCUUCGGCUCUCAGCGGCGAACGGGUGAGUAACACGUAGGUCACGUACCCUUUGAUGGGGAAUAACCUAGGGAAACCUGGGCUAAUACCGCAUAUGUCCUUCGGGAUGAAAGCCUUCGGGCGUCAGAGGAUCGGCCUGCGGCCCAUUAUUUAAUCCUAGUUGGUAGGGUAAUGGCCUACCAAGGGUACGAUGGGUAGCUGGUCUGAGAGGAUGAUCAGCCACACUGGAACUGAGACACGGUUCAGACUCCUACGGGAGGCAGCAGUGGGGAAUAUUGGACAAUGGGCGAAAGCCUGAUCCAGCCACGCCGCGUGGGUGAUGAAGGCCUUCGGGUUGUAAAGCCCUGUCGGGAGGGACGAAUCAAUGACGGUACCUCCCAAGAAAGCACCGGCUAACUCCGUGCCAGCAGCCGCGGUAAAGUC